CUGCGCGGGGCAUGGGGCCAUGGCCGGGCCUGCUCUCAGCAAAUGCUGGAUUCGCUUCCUGAUCUUCGUGCUUCUACUGCUGCUGACCUGGGGGGCGACUGACCGGGAAGCUGCAGCCUCUACCUACGUGUCUCAACCGCCCUGGCUGUGGGGUCUCCGGGGGAAACCCCUUUCCCUGCCCUGCACGUUGAAGGACUCCCAGUACCCGCAGAUGUUCUGGUACCGGCAGCGGACUGGAGAGGCCCCGGUCAUUCUGUUCAGCAGUUACGGCACAGACGCUAUGAAUUACACUGAAGAACCCCUGACAGCUAAGAGGAAAGGCGAUGAUUUGGAGCUGAGCUGGCAGCGUCUGAGGGAGGCUGACUCGGCCAUGUAUUUCUGCGCCUGCAGUACUGUUUCACGGUGAUUCAGCUGCAGCCUCUACCUACGUGUCUCAACCUACCUGGCUGUGGGGUCUCCGGGGGAAACCCCUUUCCCUGCCCUGCACGUUGAAGGACUCCCAGUACCCGCAGAUGUUCUGGAACCGGCAGCGGAUCGGAGAGGCCCCGUUUGCUCUAUUCAACAGUUAAGCCGGAGACAUGGUGAAUUACACGACAGAUCCCCUGACAGCCGAGAGGAAAGGGGAUGUUUUAGAACUGCACUGGCAGCGUCUGGGAGAGGCUGACUCGGCCAUGUAUUUCAGCGCCUGCAGUUUGUUGCACAGUGAUCCAAGCCUGUGAGGGCAUUGAGCAAAAAAGAGCUGGGCGGAGCAGGGGUCAUUUCCUCUCCUGGAGUGGUGGGGGAGGCAUCUGCAGCUGUGCGGUUGAGAAGUCACCAUCACCCAUCCCCCUGCCCGCUUCAGUCCUAGCCUCUCAAAGCUGCUGGAAUUUAUUUGAGUGUUCUCCGCGACACUUGGUUCCCAGCCUUUAGAUCUCUUUCCCCCCAUCUCUUCCUAUCCUGUCUCUGUCUCCCACUCCAUUUCCUGCCCCAUUUCUAGCUUCUCCUCCAUCUCCACCUUUCUGGAGCUGAGCCAGGCUUCCGAGGCACUCAUCGUCAUGAGGCUCAUUCUACCAGCUGAGCUCCCCCUGAAGAUGGCACCUGGAAAGUCUCCAGUACUCUACCAGUCUCGGCUAGGGAGGGAGAGCCAAGCAGAAGUAUUUCCAUUCCUUGCUUGGCCAGUGGAUAGCCAGUGGAAGUCAGUCUCCUUAAAGUCAAAACUCACCUGUGCUGGGCAGUAACACUGUGGUAGAGAGCCAAGGGUGGAGACUAAAGUUUACUGCAUGGAAGGAGGCAAAGGUAAACCACUUC
Ornithorhynchus anatinus (platypus) is the source of this 1287-nucleotide non-coding RNA. The record is from the annotation of a RefSeq genome assembly. Lineage: Eukaryota; Metazoa; Chordata; Mammalia; Monotremata; Ornithorhynchidae.